This 285-nucleotide long non-coding RNA is filed under the name Trifolium pratense (red clover). Its description in RNAcentral is "long non-coding RNA (TPRA_LNC002781)". Lineage: Eukaryota; Viridiplantae; Streptophyta; Magnoliopsida; Fabales; Fabaceae. The record is from RNAcentral.
AGCUUUUUAAGAUGGACUCCCUUGUCUCAAGCCAAGUUUUCAAAACCAGUUUUAUAGAUUGGUUUUCAAAAUCCAAUCUCACAAAACAAGGAAAGGAACGAAUUGAACCUUGCAGCAAUCAUUCAAUUGAAUAAUUCCAACAAUUCCAACAAUUGAACCUAAUCAAUCAUUCUCAAAGUUUUGAUGGAGAGAAAUUGCAGAUCUAACUAGUGAAUUUGAGAGAAAAAAGAUGAACAAGAAUAUAAACACAGCGACAGUGAAGCUUUGGCAUGGUGGUGGCUGUUG